UUUAAAUUUUUUACUAAAUUCAAAUUAUGAGAAAAUUGCAUUUCCCGAUCAAAGUUAAGAGCAUGCAUUUUUUCUUUCUUGAAGAACUUUUUACGUGCUCUGAUGGUUAACAUCCAAGAGUAGAAAAGCCAUGAAUUCAAGUCAUAUCCGAAAUUAGAGAUGUGAUGGGGCAAAGAUGAAGUCGAGAGCUCUGACAGUAUCAAAGCUCAACCCUCUAUUUUUAGAUUCUUUACACAUCAUGUAUAAAUUGUCAGAACUUAAUAAGUAAAAAAUUAGCAAAGCAACAGAGUUUCCAAGCAAUAGCAACUGAAAAAAGUGACACAUUUUUUGUCUGAAUUGUCAAAAUAAGUUGUUAAAAUCAGCGCAAUCUAUCAUUGAAUUUUA
RNAcentral lists this long non-coding RNA (384 nucleotides) under Ananas comosus (pineapple). RNAcentral's name for it is "long non-coding RNA (ACOM_LNC029102)". Lineage: Eukaryota; Viridiplantae; Streptophyta; Magnoliopsida; Poales; Bromeliaceae. The record is from RNAcentral.